UACGAGGGGUGCAAACGUUAUUCGGAUUUACUGGGUGUAAAGGGUGUGUAGACGGUUUGUUAAGUUUGUUGUUAAAUUUUUCGGCCUAACCGGAAACUUGCGGUGAAAACUGGCAGACUUGAGAGUGAAAGAGAGAAGCGGAAUUCUCGGAGUAGCGGUAAAAUGCGUAGAUCUCGAGAGGAACACCGAUGGCGAAAGCAGCUUCUUGGUUCACUUCUGACGUUGAAACACGAAAGCGUGGGGAG
This 245-nucleotide ribosomal RNA is filed under the name uncultured bacterium. RNAcentral's name for it is "partial 16S ribosomal RNA". It matches the Rfam family "Bacterial small subunit ribosomal RNA", at positions 524 to 768 of the family's 1533-position model. The record is from RNAcentral.